Molecule: ribosomal RNA, 506 nt
Filed under: uncultured bacterium
Lineage: Bacteria
Description: partial 16S ribosomal RNA
Rfam family: Bacterial small subunit ribosomal RNA
Source: RNAcentral
AGUGAACGCUGGCGGUAGGCCUAACACAUGCAAGUCGAACGGCAGCACAGGAGAGCUUGCUCUCUGGGUGGCGAGUGGCGGACGGGUGAGGAAUACAUCGGAAUCUACUUUUUCGUGGGGGAUAACGUAGGGAAACUUACGCUAAUACCGCAUACGACCUACGGGUGAAAGCAGGGGACCUUCGGGCCUUGCGCGAUUGAAUGAGCCGAUGUCGGGUUAGCUGGUUGGCGGGGUAAAGGCCCACCAAGGCGACGAUCCGUAGCUGGUCUGAGAGGAUGAUCAGCCACACUGGAACUGAGACACGGUCCAGACUCCUACGGGAGGCAGCAGUGGGGAAUAUUGGACAAUGGGCGCAAGCCUGAUCCAGCCAUACCGCGUGGGUGAAGAAGGCCUUCGGGUUGUAAAGCCCUUUUGUUGGGAAAGAAAUCCAGCUGGCUAAUACCCGGUUGGGAUGACGGUACCCAAAGAAUAAGCACCGGCUAACUUCGUGCCAGCAGCCGCAGUAA